GACGAACGCUGGCGGCGUGCUUAACACAUGCAAGUCGAACGGAAAGGCCCUUCGGGGUACACGAGUGGCGAACGGGUGAGUAACACGUGGGUGAUCUGCCCUGCACUUCGGGAUAAGCCUGGGAAACUGGGUCUAAUACCGGAUAGGACCACUGCCUGCAUGGGUGGUGGUGGAAAGCUUUUGCGGUGUGGGAUGGGCCCGCGGCCUAUCUGCUUGUGGGUGGGGUGAUGGCCUACCAAGGCGACGACGGGUAGCCGGCCUGAGAGGGUGACCGGCCACACUGGGACUGAGCUACGGCCGAGAGUCCUACGGGAGGCAGCAGUGGGGAAUAUUGCACAAUGGGCGCAAGCCUGAUGCAGCGACGCCGCGUGAGGGAUGACGGCCUUCGGGUUGUAAACCUCUUUCAGCACCGACGAAGCGCAAGUGACGGUAGGUGCAGAAGAAGGACCGGCCAACUACGUGCCAGCAGCCGCAGUAA
Molecule: ribosomal RNA, 478 nt
Filed under: uncultured bacterium
Lineage: Bacteria
Description: partial 16S ribosomal RNA
Rfam family: Bacterial small subunit ribosomal RNA
Source: RNAcentral